UUAAAUUUUAUAUUUUCCUGUGUGUGGUCUUUAGACAUGUUUUGUCAUUUCAUCUUACCUUUGAUUUGAUUUCCUUAAUGCAUCUAGAUGUUAGUACCUGUCAUACUUGGAGACAAUUUUCAUUAAGUAAUACUGCACUUAAAAUAGACAUCCAUUAAUCCUGACUUGAGUUAUAGUUUUAGUUCCAACUUGAUAAUUCACUAUGUGGUCUACAGAUACUUAAUAAGAAGUGGAUCUGUUCUUUUUUAAAUUUUCUAAAUGGAAUCCUAUGUGAA
Molecule: non-coding RNA, 275 nt
Organism: Arachis ipaensis
Lineage: Eukaryota; Viridiplantae; Streptophyta; Magnoliopsida; Fabales; Fabaceae
Source: RefSeq, a predicted model, not a curated record